Long non-coding RNA from Zootermopsis nevadensis, 341 nucleotides. RefSeq lists it as uncharacterized. The record is from RefSeq and is a predicted model, not a curated record. NCBI's taxonomy places the organism in Eukaryota, Metazoa, Arthropoda, Insecta, Blattodea, Termopsidae.
GGAACUGUCUCCAAGUCACUUAGAAAAUAUUUGGCCAACAUUCCGGGUGAACACGGCAUCAGAAGAUGAAGAACAACAAACUACUACUACACAUAAUCCAGCAGCAGAAGGCAACUUCUGUGAUGAAUGUGAGCUAAUAAAACUACCGUUGUUGAAAAACUACAGUCAGCAUGUGGACUACAUCAACAAAGGUGACAGAAUGGCUAAUACCUGUUCAAUUAGAGAACAUUGAAGUGGCAGAGAAAUGUUUGUACCUGUUGGAUCUAACAAUAUUGAAUAGUUAUAUCAUUCUAGCAUCUUGUAGCAGCCAAAGAGGCCACUAAAAAUAUUGUCUUAUUUUA